Ictidomys tridecemlineatus (thirteen-lined ground squirrel) is the source of this 2978-nucleotide non-coding RNA. The record is from RefSeq and is a predicted model, not a curated record. Lineage: Eukaryota; Metazoa; Chordata; Mammalia; Rodentia; Sciuridae.
GUGGAGAGCUGGACAGAAGUCCCAGGAUAAGCCCCUGCAGAGAAAAACAGUCCCAAGGCAUAAGCUGACAUUCAACAAGGGCUGCUGAAGAAAAAAUAAGAUUUCUUUAUUAUCUGAAGGAUCAUUCUUCAUAUCAAAACAUACACUCCUGGAGGAAAAAAAAGUAAAGCAAUCCCAUUACACAGGAAGAUCACCUCCUGAGGUCUCUUCUCUUAUCAGCAAAACAAAGGCAUAGAAUUAUAGAAUUUCUAAUACCUCAUCCAGCUCUGCUGAUUGUGAAUCAACUUUUGAUGAUAAAAACAAUUAAGGAAAAAAAAUAAGGAACAAACUUAACUUCAAUCUUGGAAAAUAAAAAAAACCACGGGUACCUAUAAACCUUCCUCUCCUGUCUUCUCCUCCUCCAUCCUGGGAGCAACAGCAGUUAUUACCAGCAAAGAUUCUGUAGGUGAAGAAUUCUAACAGAAUAUAUUAGGAAUGGAUUAUCCCUGCCCCUGCAGUCUGAGGCUUUCAAGUCCAAAGUUGGAGGCCAUAAUUAUAUCAAAAAACUGAGUGGUGAUGUUGGCUGUAGGCAGAUCCAUUAGCAGGGGCUAAUGUCCUGAACACAUUUAUGAGAUUGCCUUAAAAGCUUGGCAUGAUCCAGUUCUGUCCAAGGAGGAGAAAGGAUUCAAGAGAAACUACAAAAGACAGAACAAGGAAAUGAGAUGAAGGAAUGAAGGCUGGGAGAGAUUAAGUCACCUGUCUGGGGCCACACAGCUAAUCAUGCAGCCCUUAGUCUUAACCAUUGAGAUCUACUUCCUUCAGUGGAGUGCACUCUGGGGCCAUGCAGAGUCACUCCUUGGACAGUACUGGGCCUAAGCAAGGAAAUGGUUUUAUGUGUUCCUGGAUUUCAGAAUUACUAUCAAUGCAAGACUGAAUACAGUAGUGUACCAAAGGGGAAGCAAGGAAGAUCUGCUCCAACCAGGAUAAGUAUUUAUCACUGACACUGUUUAUUAACCCUUCCUGUGUGUGGUCACAAAAAGUAUUCUUUGAUGUACACACAUAUAUAUAUAUAUGCUUGUUUUUAGAUCCUUACAGGCCAUUCACUUCCUUACAACUCACUUAUGGUAGACAGCUCCCAGCUACCUACCCACCCACAUUAUAGUCCUCUGCUUUGUGACUCUCAAUAAGCUCCUCACUUAUUUCAAAAGGGAUCUAUUGUGGGUAUCUUGGGUGAGUGUGCAGCAGACAACACACCCCUUUGAUUCCCUAAACCUCCAAUCCAGAGGACCUGGCCCCCCGGGGCUGUAUUCCAGCAACCACACUCCAGAAGCCUAGUCCAUGAUGCCUCUGCAGAGACCUGGAGAUGAGUCCCUGAGACUGAAUCAGAGCCUAUAGAAGAGGGAAGCUUCUGGGAGGUAUACAGAACAGAUGAAUGCACCUUUCAUGAGGGAGAAAUAUGAAUUUUGAGUUUCCAAAAAGUGGCUGUGAUGUUCCGUGAUAUUGGUGGUUAUGAUAUCUAUACUGUUUCUUCAUCUCUUCCAUUAGAUCUAGGUAGACUCGCUUUCCUUAUUAUCCAAAUAUAGUGAGAGGGACACUAUGCCAGUUCUGUCGCUUUGGUUUUCAGAAAACCUGGCAGCUUCAGUUUUGUACCCUUGAGAUUUCCCAGUUGUCACAAAAGACUAUAGUGGAGAAGCCACAGAGAAUUGAGAGAUCCCUGAGAGUACAAGAUUACAGACCAGAGUGGAGACAAAGAAAGAGACAAAGACACAAACUCUGUCCUUUCAGCACUCCAGCUGGGACCAGUGUCCAGGUGACCCACCAAAUAAAUCCAACACAGAUGCAUUUUCCAUCCGUCUGUCUUGCUGCACACAGAGGAACCAGCCACUGAGCUCCUGUGCCAUCUGGUCUCUAGGUAGGUUCAGCCAACGGAACCCCAGAACAUCAGAGUGACAGACAGGAGGAAUCCCAACCUGGUAGGGAUUGAACUUCUCUCUACAAAGCCUCCUGGGCUCGCUAUAUUCCUCCAACUCAAUUUAGUACUUCUCACAAAGGUAGCUUCUCUACCAGGCUUCCUGCUCCUGCGAUCUGAAAAUUGCUCCCUUUUCUUAUCUCUUCAAGGGUUAAAAACAUUAGCUUCUCCAGUGUUCUUUAGCACAGACCAGAAUCUUUCUUUUGGUUUCUUUAGACACUUUUAGAAGUCCUACCAAUGUGUGUGUGUGUUGGGGGGGGAGGUGACAAAGUGCUUGUCAACUUAUCCUAAUAUCUGGGACAUUUGUGUUCUGUUGGGACCCUAUCUAGCCAACAUAUAUACUUCACAAUCAUGAUAACCAGCCAUCAUGUUAAAUUUUCCCUUCUUGUUUUGUGCCACUGUACCUCGUACAUUGCUAUUUCCCUUGCCAUUUUCCUCCUUCUUCAAGUUUCACUUAAAACAGCUUCCCAUUCUAUGACUCCUUCCUGAGCCUUUUUUAAAUUCAGGUAUUUGUAUAUUCACAGUGAAUUCUUUCUACACUGUGUAUUUUUAAGGAUGGGAAUUGUGUCUAAUUUCUUCUGCGUCUUCAGCAGUUUGCACCAGCAGACCAGCAUUACUAUUUUUUUUCACACAACUGAACUAAUGUAUGAUGCAAUGAAAGAGGAAGUAUGGUUUUUCAGAUUAGACUAAAAGCAGCAUCUUCCAGGCAACCCUGCAAUGAGUUAUAUAAAUGUGCAAGUGCAAAACAAGGAUUGAAAAAAGAAGAGCAACAUCAAUAGCAGAGCAGUAGCUGCUACUCUUCCUAUAACCUAAAAAGCAACAAUAAUUAAGAAAUCAUUGCCUAUUUUUUUUACAGUAGAGUUGGCAACUCUGAGCAAGCAUCUCAAUAACCCCCAGGAUCACCACUGUGAGCCUCUGGACAAAAAAUGCUAAUAGAUCAAACUGGUUUCUCUUGUUGUCCAGAUACAGUAUCAAAUACUACUUAACUCAAAAAUAAAAGUCAAUAUACCUUGGUCAACUCAUAUAUGAA